UCGCUUCAGCAGCACAUAAACUAAAAUUGGAACGAUACAGAGAAGAUUAGCAUGGCCCCUGCACAAGGAAGACAGGCAAAUUCAUGAAGUGUUCCAUAUGUUU
This is a small nuclear RNA of Peromyscus maniculatus bairdii (prairie deer mouse), 103 nucleotides long. Lineage: Eukaryota; Metazoa; Chordata; Mammalia; Rodentia; Cricetidae. The record is from RefSeq and is a predicted model, not a curated record.